CUUCUUUUUUUGUAUUUUGAAAUCAAUUUUGUUGUUAAUUUGUAAGGCUUCACAAAAUUUUGAAUACUUUUAAGUGGCAAGUGAUGAUAUUGCUUCACUAAAUUAAUUUUUUUAAGGGGUGGGUUCACUACAGUAGCUUGCUACUGGAACUCACACGUGUCAUCUUUGCGUUGCACUACAGCAAAGCUUGGCGCACCCUAC
Rosa rugosa (rugosa rose) is the source of this 201-nucleotide small nuclear RNA. RefSeq annotates it as U2 spliceosomal RNA. Lineage: Eukaryota; Viridiplantae; Streptophyta; Magnoliopsida; Rosales; Rosaceae. The record is from RefSeq and is a predicted model, not a curated record. The transcript has a single exon.